This 76-nucleotide microRNA precursor is filed under the name Myotis lucifugus (little brown bat). RNAcentral's name for it is "mir-9229 microRNA precursor family". It matches the Rfam family "mir-9229 microRNA precursor family". Lineage: Eukaryota; Metazoa; Chordata; Mammalia; Chiroptera; Vespertilionidae. The record is from Rfam by way of RNAcentral.
GAGACACCCCUAUGGAGCAGGACGUGCUUCAGUGGGGCUUUGGUGCUCACUGAGUCCACCCCUUGAGUGUGUUGCU